GACGAACGCUGGCGGCGUGCCUAACACAUGCAAGUCGAACGGUGAAGCGCCUUCCUUUUUGGUGUGUGUGGAUGAGUGGCGGACGGGUGAGCAACAGGAUAGUAACCUUCUCCGUUCUUCUGGAUAACCGCAUGAAAGUGUUACUACUACGGGAUAUUCUGGGUCUGUCGCAUGAUGGGUCUGGGACAGCUAUUGUUUCGGUGGGGGAUGGGCUCGCGGCGUAUUAGCUUGUUGGUGGGGUAAUGGCCUACCAAGGCGGCGAUGGGUAGCCGGCCUGAGAGGAUGAUCGGCGACACUGGUAGUGAGACGAGGCCGCGACUACUACGGGAGGAAGCAGUAGGGAAGAUUGCGGAAUGGGGGAAAGCAUGAUGGAGCAACGCCGCGUGGGGGAGGAAGGUCUUCGGGGGGUAAAGCACUUCUUUCGGGAAAGAAGCAGGGCGGCCUUAUCUGUGCGUGGGUUGACGGUACCUGAAUAAGAAGCGCCGGCUAACUACGUG
Molecule: ribosomal RNA, 497 nt
Filed under: uncultured bacterium
Lineage: Bacteria
Description: partial 16S ribosomal RNA
Rfam family: Bacterial small subunit ribosomal RNA
Source: RNAcentral